Molecule: long non-coding RNA, 765 nt
Organism: Triticum dicoccoides
Lineage: Eukaryota; Viridiplantae; Streptophyta; Magnoliopsida; Poales; Poaceae
Exons: 3
Source: RefSeq, a predicted model, not a curated record
UAGGUUUAAUGAUGGCUCUGCAAUUUUCCUAUUAGUAUGCAUGAUUUUUCUUUUUGAUUGCUCACCCUGGUACUUUUUUCAGUAAGAUCAUAAAUGACAAUUAUAACGGUGGUGAUUUUUACCACCAAUUCCUUGUUUUUCACUUCUCUCACACUCAUGAUAGGUUGAUAUAUAUUUUCAGUUAUCUAUACAUCUUCAGUAUGUUGAUGUAGCCCCAAUCCCAUGAUACAAUCAAUGCAUUUUCUGCAGCCCAUCUCAUGCAGGCAGAUGGGGCGAUACAUUCAUGAGCUUGCCACUAUGCUUAGCUAGCUUGUUCAACUUCUCUUGUGAGAUCAAAUUACUUUGAUGUGAAUUUUCACAGCUCUUUGUGCUCUUUCCUUCUUGCUGAACCAAUGUUUCCUCAUUAAAUUACUUUACUAGGAUGUUUUCUUUAGAAUUUUCAGACAUUACUUGCAAAAGCAGUAGCAACUGAGUGCUCAUUAAACUUUCUUAGCGUAAAAGGUCCAGAACUGAUAAACAUGUAUGUUGGAGAGUCAGAGAGGAAUAUCAGGGACAUCUUUGAGAAGGCUAGAUCAGCACGCCCAUGAGUAAUUUUCUUCGAUGAGCUUGAUUCCCUUGCUCCUGCACGAGGGUCCUCUGCAGAUUCUGGAGAUGUGAUGGAUAAAUGGUUUCUCAGCACAAAUGCCCGACGGAGAUGCAUAUGUUUGGCAUUCUAUCAGUAAACAUACACGUGCGCUGGCUUGCAGUACUACAUUUUGUGAUUGU